AGUUUGGUAUAGUGGUCUCAGUGUUAGAUUAGAACUCUGGAGAUCAGGGUUUGAAUCCCUGCUCAGCUA
Phrynosoma platyrhinos (Desert horned lizard) is the source of this 69-nucleotide non-coding RNA. The record is from the annotation of a GenBank genome assembly. Lineage: Eukaryota; Metazoa; Chordata; Lepidosauria; Squamata; Phrynosomatidae.